This 421-nucleotide ribosomal RNA is filed under the name uncultured bacterium. Its description in RNAcentral is "bacterial SSU rRNA". It matches the Rfam family "Bacterial small subunit ribosomal RNA", at positions 355 to 773 of the family's 1533-position model. The record is from RNAcentral.
UGAGGAAUAUUGGUCAAUGGGCGAGAGCCUGAACCAGCCAAGUAGCGUGAAGGAUGACUGCCCUAUGGGUUGUAAACUUCUUUUAUAAAGGAAUAAAGUCGGGUAUGGAUACCCGUAUGCAUGUACUUUAUGAAUAAGGAUCGGCUAACUCCGUGCCAGCAGCCGCGGUAAUACGUAGGAUCCGAGCGUUAUCCGGAUUUAUUGGGUUUAAAGGGAGCGUAGAUGGAUGUUUAAGUCAGUUGUGAAAGUUUGCGGCUCAACCGUAAAAUUGCAGUUGAUACUGGAUAUCUUAAGUGCAGUUGAUGCAGGCGGAAUUCGUGGUGUAGCGGUUAAAUGCUUAGAAAUCACGAAGAACUCCGAUUGCGAAGGCAUCCUGCUAAGCUGCAACUGACAUUGAGGCUCGAAAGUGUGGGUAUCAAAC